RNAcentral lists this ribosomal RNA (879 nucleotides) under Rossellomorea vietnamensis. Its description in RNAcentral is "bacterial SSU rRNA". Lineage: Bacteria; Bacillati; Bacillota; Bacilli; Caryophanales; Bacillaceae. The record is from RNAcentral.
CCUGAUAUCAGCGGCGGACGGGUGAGUAACACGUGGGUAACCUGCCUGUAAGACUGGGAUAACUCCGGGAAACCGGGGCUAAUACCGGAUAACUCAUUUCCUCGCAUGAGGAAAUGUUGAAAGGUGGCUUUUAGCUAUCACUUACAGAUGGACCCGCGGCGCAUUAGCUAGUUGGUGAGGUAACGGCUCACCAAGGCAACGAUGCGUAGCCRACCUGAGAGGGUGAUCGGCCACACUGGGACUGAGACACGGCCCARACUCCUACGGGAGGCAGCAGUAGGGAAUCUUCCGCAAUGGACGAAAGUCUGACGGAGCAACGCCGCGUGAGUGAUGAAGGUUUUCGGAUCGUAAAGCUCUGUUGUUAGGGAAGAACAAGUGCCGUUCGAAUAGGGCGGCACCUUGACGGUACCUAACCAGAAAGCCACGGCUAACUACGUGCCAGCAGCCGCGGUAAUACGUAGGUGGCAAGCGUUGUCCGGAAUUAUUGGGCGUAAAGCGCGCGCAGGUGGUUCCUUAAGUCUGAUGUGAAAGCCCACGGCUCAACCGUGGAGGGUCAUUGGAAACUGGGGGACUUGAGUGCAGAAGAGGAAAGUGGAAUUCCAAGUGUAGCGGUGAAAUGCGUAGAUAUUUGGAGGAACACCAGUGGCGAAGGCGACUUUCUGGUCUGUAACUGACACUGAGGCGCGAAAGCGUGGGGAGCAAACAGGAUUAGAUACCCUGGUAGUCCACGCCGUAAACGAUGAGUGCUAAGUGUUAGGGGGUUUCCGCCCCUUAGUGCUGCAGCUAACGCAUUAAGCACUCCGCCUGGGGAGUACGGUCGCAAGACUGAAACUCAAGGAAUUGACGGGGGCCCGCACAAGCGGUGGAGCAUGUGGUUUA